GGGCCGUUAGCUUAGCUUGGUAGAGCGCUUGCAUGGCAUGCAAGAGGUCACCGGUUCGAAUCCGGUACGGUCCACCA
RNAcentral lists this transfer RNA (77 nucleotides) under Patescibacteria group bacterium. RNAcentral's name for it is "tRNA-Ala". It matches the Rfam family "tRNA". From Rfam's summary of the family: Transfer RNA (tRNA) molecules are approximately 80 nucleotides in length. Their secondary structure includes four short double-helical elements and three loops (D, anti-codon, and T loops). The record is from RNAcentral.